AGCGAACGCUGGCGGCAGGCCUAACACAUGCAAGUCGAACGAAGCCUUCGGGCUUAGUGGCGGACGGGUGAGUAACACGUGGGAACGUACCUUUUGGUUCGGAAUAACGCAGAGAAAUUUGCGCUAAUACCGAAUGAGCCCUAAGGGGGAAAGAUUUAUCGCCGAAAGAGCGGCCCGCGUUGGAUUAGGUAGUUGGUGUGGUAAAGGCGCACCAAGCCUACGAUCCAUAGCUGGUCUGAGAGGAUGAUCAGCCACACUGGGACUGAGACACGGCCCAGACUCCUACGGGAGGCAGCAGUGGGGAAUCUUGCGCAAUGGGCGAAAGCCUGACGCAGCCAUGCCGCGUGAAUGAUGAAGGUCUUAGGAUUGUAAAAUUCUUUUACCAGGGACGAUAAUGACGGUACCUGGAGAAAAAGCCCCGGCUAACUUCGUGCCAGCCGCCGCGGUAA
This 449-nucleotide ribosomal RNA is filed under the name uncultured bacterium. RNAcentral describes it as "partial 16S ribosomal RNA". It matches the Rfam family "Bacterial small subunit ribosomal RNA", at positions 29 to 523 of the family's 1533-position model. The record is from RNAcentral.